Molecule: transfer RNA, 61 nt
Filed under: Magicicada septendecim (seventeen-year cicada)
Lineage: Eukaryota; Metazoa; Arthropoda; Insecta; Hemiptera; Cicadidae
Also listed under: 2 other names
Description: tRNA-Glu
Source: RNAcentral
AUUUAUAAAGUUUAUAAAACAUUUCAUUUUCAUUGAAAAGAGAGGAAAAGCCUUAUAAAUA